Molecule: transfer RNA, 72 nt
Filed under: Bos taurus (domestic cattle)
Lineage: Eukaryota; Metazoa; Chordata; Mammalia; Artiodactyla; Bovidae
Also listed under: 1 other name
Rfam family: tRNA
About the family: Transfer RNA (tRNA) molecules are approximately 80 nucleotides in length. Their secondary structure includes four short double-helical elements and three loops (D, anti-codon, and T loops).
Source: Rfam by way of RNAcentral
UCCUUUGUAGCUCAGUCAGUAAAGAAUCUGCCUGCAACGCAGGAGACCCAGGUUCAAUCCCUGGGUCGGGAA